RNAcentral lists this ribosomal RNA (975 nucleotides) under Otidea khakicolorata. RNAcentral's name for it is "partial large subunit ribosomal RNA". It matches the Rfam family "Eukaryotic large subunit ribosomal RNA", at positions 1 to 979 of the family's 3401-position model. Lineage: Eukaryota; Fungi; Ascomycota; Pezizomycetes; Pezizales; Pyronemataceae. The record is from RNAcentral.
UAUUCACACCCCGCGCGUGGGAGAAAACUAGCAUAUCAAAUAAGCGGAGGAAAAGAAACCCAACAGGGAUUGCUUUAGUAACUGCGAGUGAAGCGGCAAAAGCUCAAAUUUGAAAUCUGACGUCUUUGACGUUCGAGUUGUAAUUUGGAGGGAUAUCUUCGGAGUUGGAGCCGUUCUAAGUUCUUUGGAACCAGACAUCAUAGAGGGUGAGAAUCCCGUGCCUGGAUGGCCAUCCAUUUCCAUGUGAAGUGUCUCCGACGAGUCGAGUUGUUUGGGAAUGCAGCUCAAAAUGGGUGGUAAAUUUCAUCUAAAGCUAAAUAUUGGCGAGAGACCGAUAGCGCACAAGUAGAGUGAUCGAAAGAUGAAAAGCACUUUGAAAAGAGAGUUAAACAGUACGUGAAAUUGUUGAAAGGGAAGCGCUUGGGACUAGAUUCAGCUGAUGGUGAUCAGCCGUACUUUUGUUCGGUGCACUCGCCGUCGGUUGAGCCAGCAUCGGUUCUGAUGGUGGGAUAAAGGUUUGAGGAAUGUGGCUCCAUGACUUCGUGGAGUGUUAUAGCCUUGAGUGCAAUGCCACCUGUUGGGACCGAGGACCGCGCUUUUGCUAGGAUGCUGGCUAAAAGGUCUUAAGCGGCCCGUCUUGAAACACGGACCAAGGAGUCUAACAUCUAUGCGAGUGUUCGGGUGAAAAACCCUUGCGCGUAAUGAAAGUGAAUGGAGGUGGGAACUCCUUUGGGGUGCACCAUCGACCGAUCUUGAUGUUUACGGAAGGAUUUGAGUAGGAGCAUAGCUGUUGGGACCCGAAAGAUGGUGAACUAUGCCUGAAUAGGGUGAAGCCAGAGGAAACUCUGGUGGAGGCUCGCAGCGGGUUCUGACGUGCAAAUCGAUCGUCAAAUUUGGGUAUAGGGGCGAAAGACUAAUCGAACCCAUCUAGUAGCUGGUUUCCUGCCCGAGUUUCCUCCCCCUCUACAAGAGGAA